RNAcentral lists this ribosomal RNA (433 nucleotides) under uncultured bacterium. Its description in RNAcentral is "partial 16S ribosomal RNA". It matches the Rfam family "Bacterial small subunit ribosomal RNA", at positions 29 to 507 of the family's 1533-position model. The record is from RNAcentral.
AGCGAACGCUGGCGGCAGGCCUAACACAUGCAAGUCGAACGGAUCCUUCGGGAUUAGUGGUGGACGGGUGAGUAACGCGUGGGAACGUGCCCUUUGGUUCGGAACAACUCAGGGAAACUUGAGCUAAUACCGGAUGUGCCCUUCGGGGGAAAGAUUUAUCGCCAUUGGAGCGGCCCGCGUCUGAUUAGCUAGUUGGUGAGGUAACGGCCCACCAAGGCGACGAUCAGUAGCUGGUCUGAGAGGAUGAUCAGCCACACUGGGACUGAGACACGGCCCAGACUCCUACGGGAGGCAGCAGUGGGGAAUCUUGCGCAAUGGGCGAAAGCCUGACGCAGCCAUGCCGCGUGAAUGAUGAAGGUCUUAGGAUUGUAAAAUUCUUUCAGCGGGGACGAUAAUGACGGUACCCGCAGAAGAAGCUCCGGCUAACUUCGUG